RNAcentral lists this long non-coding RNA (1043 nucleotides) under Vigna radiata. Its description in RNAcentral is "long non-coding RNA (VRAD_LNC008424)". Lineage: Eukaryota; Viridiplantae; Streptophyta; Magnoliopsida; Fabales; Fabaceae. The record is from RNAcentral.
GGUUGAGAAUAAUUGUAUGAAUUGAAAAGGUUCAAGUUUGGGGUUGUUUGGGGGAAAAGGCGAAAGAAAAUUAUUGAGCUCAAGAGUUGAAAAAGAAAAAUGCAUGAGAAAAGAAAAAGAAGAAAAGAAAAAGCAUGAAAGAUGAGCUCAAUAAAAAGAAAAGGGGAGAAGUUGGGAAUGAGUGAGAUUGGUGAAAAAGAGAGUUUGUACUUGAACUUUGAAUGUUAAAAUAGCUCUCUUGACUCAAGGAUUUUGUGAUAUAGAAAAACAAAAUUUUCUUGUUAACCCAUGAUAGCUCCAUCCUUGAGCUAUGUUUCAGAUCCGUGAGCUUCCAAGGCAAAGAACAACAGCAGCGGAUGAAGAUGGCUUCACGGAGGCUAUUGGCAGAGGCAGAGUUUUUGGUGGAGAGAAUACUAGCUCAGGAGGCCUUCCAUUGGAAGGAAGCUAGUUGGAGAAAUGGAAGAAACUCAAUGAAGGACUUUCGGUAGAGAUUUCAAGUUGCUGGAAUUAUCAUCAGCAGAAGAGAAAACUCAUAGUAUUUCCAAAAGUGUAUUACAAUGAGUGCAACCAUGGAUUUAUAGAUGUAUCCAUGAGUCUGCAACGUGAUCUAAAUGCCCAUGAUAAGUGGAUCUGAUGCCACGUGUACAAAGCAAAGAAAAUGUGAAUGAAUUCUAGAAGAGGCACGACUGCCAUGUGCUGAAAGGCUGAAAGGUGUGGACAACAAAGAUAUGGGGUGCAACUAGCAGCUUGGGGCUUCACUUGGACAGUUUUACCCCUUGCCUUGGGUCUCUAGAUUCCAUUUAAAAUGAAGGAGAAGGACUUGUCCUUCUUCUUGGGUUGGUUUGAUGGACUUUAUUUAUUGGGCUUGGGCCCCGCGUAUCAACCCAGCCUCAUUAUAAGCCUUGGAAAAGUCCUUGUGAUGAUAUUUGCAUGUGAGAAUGUUGAUUGUUUUAGAUGAAGGGCAAUUUUGUGUUAUGUGACAUGUGAAUAGUUGAGAGUGGAGUGACCUCCUAAACACUUGAUUAAGUGAGUGAAACACUUGC